UUGUGCAGAGAUUAUGAGGAACAAAUUUACAUCUAAGUCAUCCUCUCAUGGAUCAUCUACUUCUUCCUCGGGUGUUCAAGCCGUGUCGAUUAAGAAGACAACAAAGAAGGUUUUGGUGGAGAAAGAACUGAGGUUUGCGCCGGAGUUUGACGGGCUUCAUUGCUUCGAAACCAUAGUUCCUUCUUGAUUAUUCCAAUACGGUUUUUCCCUUUUUAUUUAGUUUUUUGGUCUUGUGUUUGAUAGAUUUUGUCAUGAAAUACUUACGAAUGUGUUGCUAAAUGGUUGGAUUGGUUCACAAGUUUCU
RNAcentral lists this long non-coding RNA (304 nucleotides) under Arabidopsis lyrata. RNAcentral's name for it is "long non-coding RNA (ALYR_LNC001436)". The record is from RNAcentral. Lineage: Eukaryota; Viridiplantae; Streptophyta; Magnoliopsida; Brassicales; Brassicaceae.